Long non-coding RNA from Ictalurus punctatus (channel catfish), 1224 nucleotides. The record is from Ensembl. Lineage: Eukaryota; Metazoa; Chordata; Actinopteri; Siluriformes; Ictaluridae.
UGAAAACUUAUACGCGAAUGAGUUGGGAGCAGAUGGGAUUCGGAGAGUGAAAGACAAAAGAAUUGAAAGACAAAGUGUCAGAGGGGGCCAAUGCAGAGCUCUCGGGUACAUUAAGCCUGGAAGAGUUGCAUAAGGCCUUUCAAGGCAUGGAUUCUGCGAAAGGAAUUCACAGAUCUUCACUUUCGGACAUCUGAUUCAUGUAGCUGGGAUGGACUUCGAAAGAACGGAAGUGGCGGCCUCUUGUUUAAAGAUCAGGUCUUUGCUAAAGAACUGGAAGUCAAUGGUCAGUAAGGAAGAAAAAGAUUUAUUGGUGGACAGUCAUGGAGAAGUAAACACUUCCAAUACAGAAGACUGUUUUCCUAAUUUUACUAUGUUACCUAAACUGGAUUGGAUGUAGGGGACCUUUUUUAGAUGCUGAAAGACCCUCGUGUUUGGACUUAUGUACAGCCACUGGCAAAGCAUUUUAUAGAAUAUGUGUUAAAAUUUUUAAUAAAAAGAAACUAAAUGACAAAGUUGACAUGCCUUGGCGUAGAGCGCUGGGAGUAGAAGAGAAUGUGAAACCUGAAUGGAGAUCACUGUAUAAGCCACCGUUAUCUAAAAGGGCAGGGGAUUUACACUGCAGAUGUCUUCACUGUGCCGUCGCGGUUAAUGCUUUAAUUUCAGUUCUUAAUCCCGAAGUUACUGUUGAUUGCCCUUUCUGCUCAAAAAGAGAAUCUGUUUUUCAUGCUUUUAUGGAAUGUGACAGACUGAAACCUUUAUUUGUAAUUUUGGAAGAUUUUUUUUUUUGUUAUUAUUUUAGCGAACUGUUUUCCAUGAGGAUUUUUAUUUUUGGUUUCAAAUUUGUUCGAAAUAAAAGGUUUACUUGUCAGCUUUUGAAUUUUGUUUUAGACCAGGUGAAACUGGCCAUCUACGUGAGCAGGAGAAAUAGGGUUGAAAGAUUGUCAGGUGAAGAUGUAGUAAUACUGUUUGUGAAAUUCAGUGAAAUCACAAGUGCUGAUAGAUUUCCAUUUUUAUAAGUCUACGGAGGAUUUACUAAUAUUUGAAAUGAAACGGUGUGGAAAUGGAGUGUUGUGCUCUGUUGUUAAAGAUCAUUUAUUUUUUACACAGUUGGUGUAAUUUUUACAAUUAUUUUUUUUAUUAUUUCUUUGGCACUUAUGUGUUGAGGUAUUAUUGUAAUAAGGUAACAAGUGUAUUAAUUAAGUGUGAUUUAUAGUAAUAAAAGGC